This 122-nucleotide ribosomal RNA is filed under the name Tubaria romagnesiana. Its description in RNAcentral is "partial 28S ribosomal RNA". It matches the Rfam family "Eukaryotic large subunit ribosomal RNA", at positions 1 to 120 of the family's 3401-position model. The record is from RNAcentral. Lineage: Eukaryota; Fungi; Basidiomycota; Agaricomycetes; Agaricales; Tubariaceae.
UUUGACCUCAAAUCAGGUAGGACUACCCGCUGAACUUAAGCAUAUCAAUAAGCGGAGGAAAAGAAACUAACAAGGAUUCCCCUAGUAACUGCGAGUGAAGCGGGAAAAGCUCAAAUUUAAAA